Paramuricea clavata is the source of this 527-nucleotide non-coding RNA. The record is from the annotation of a GenBank genome assembly. NCBI's taxonomy places the organism in Eukaryota, Metazoa, Cnidaria, Anthozoa, Malacalcyonacea, Plexauridae.
CCACGUCACAGCCGAAAACUUUACCCGGUAAGCGGGAUAAAGUUUCUCCAUAUGAACAGAACAAAAGUAUUUGGCUAGUCGAAAAAGUUUUCUCGUUAACCGGGAUAACUUUUGCCCUUAUGAACAGGCCCUAAUAGAGAUCGACACAACAUGAACAAUAGUACUAGUAUAAUCAUAAGGGGCGGGCCAUUAGAAAUCCCGGGAGGGAAAAUUCCCCCAAAAAAAUUCGUGCAAAGAAAAAUGCCUGGAAAAAAAAUUCAUGCAGCCAUUACGUCAGAGAAAAAAAAAUCGUGCAAGCAAACAGCAUAGUGCAAAUAGUCUUGAAAAAAAUUCUUGCAGAGGUUAAAUGCAUAAAAAAAAUCCUGUUGAGUGUAGAGACAUGAGACUGAAAAACAAAAUCGUGCCGCAAAAAUUUUAUACCCCGCCGCCUCCCGGGAUUUCUAAUGGUCCUCCCCUAAUCAAUUAGCAUGAACCAAUCAAAAAGACAGAUUAAGGUAAUUCCGCAGUUUUGCAUUGCGCACUUUUAC